Non-coding RNA from Chiloscyllium plagiosum (whitespotted bambooshark), 394 nucleotides. NCBI's taxonomy places the organism in Eukaryota, Metazoa, Chordata, Chondrichthyes, Orectolobiformes, Hemiscylliidae. The record is from RefSeq and is a predicted model, not a curated record.
ACGUCAACACUUUGUACGUUUGACUAUAGUGAGUGGAGUCUGUCUUCACCCAGAAAUUAGGCUGCUGUUCAUUCCUUUUCUUCAUUUGAUUUUAAUCAGAAAUUCUACUGCAACUAUAUGUAUAUCUUUGCAGGUUAAAAAUCAAACUGUUCUAAAUCAUGUGGUUGGAGUUCAAGUGGGGAAUAGAGCAUUUGAUAAUCUGACAGACUCUGUGAUAAUUGUAUUUAACAAAUCAUCACCGGUAAAGGCCAUUCCAAAAUGUGUCUUCUGGGAGUUACAACAAAAUGGGAACACAGCUGAGGGUCACUGGAACGAUUCCGGCUGCACAACACAAAACACAGUCAAUGAAGUCAUCUGUCGAUGCAAUCACCUGACUUUCUUUGCGGUCUUGCUG